RNAcentral lists this ribosomal RNA (484 nucleotides) under uncultured bacterium. RNAcentral describes it as "partial 16S ribosomal RNA". It matches the Rfam family "Bacterial small subunit ribosomal RNA", at positions 30 to 507 of the family's 1533-position model. The record is from RNAcentral.
AUUGAACGCUGGCGGCAGGCCUAACACAUGCAAGUCGAGCGGAUGAAGGGAGCUUGCUCCUGGAUUCAGCGGCGGACGGGUGAGUAAUGCCUAGGAAUCUGCCUGGUAGUGGGGGAUAACGUCCGGAAACGGGCGCUAAUACCGCAUCCGUCCUGAGGGAGAAAGUGGGGGAUCUUCGGACCUCACGCUAUCAGAUGAGCCUAGGUCGGAUUAGCUAGUUGGUGGGGUAAAGGCCUACCAAGGCGACGAUCCGUAACUGGUCUGAGAGGAUGAUCAGUCACACUGGAACUGAGACACGGUCCAGACUCCUACGAGAGGCAGCAGUGGGGAAUAUUGGACAAUGGGCGAAAGCCUGAUCCAGCCGUGCCGCGUGUGUGAAGAAGGUCUUCGGAUUGUAAAGCACGUUAAGUUGGGAGGAAGGGCAGUAAGUUAAUACCUUGCUGUUUUGACGUUACCAACAGAAUAAGCACCGGCUAACUUCGUG